GCAGAAUGGAAUUUGAGGCCUUUCCACCCAAUCUGGUCUGAUUCUGGAAGAUAAGCAGGGUCACGUCUGGGUAGUACUUGAGUAGGAGACAAUAAGAGAAUAUCAGGUAUCUCUAGGCA
RNAcentral lists this ribosomal RNA (119 nucleotides) under Pogona vitticeps (central bearded dragon). Lineage: Eukaryota; Metazoa; Chordata; Lepidosauria; Squamata; Agamidae. The record is from RNAcentral.